GGGCCUAACACAUUGCAAAGUUCGAAGCGGUAGCACAGAGAGCUUGCUCUCGGGUGACGAGCGGCGGACGGGUGAGUAAUGUCUGGGAAACUGCCUGAUGGAGGGGGAUAACUACUGGAAACGGUAGCUAAUACCGCAUAAUGUCGCAAGACCAAAGAGGGGGACCUUCGGGCCUCUUGCCAUCAGAUGUGCCCAGAUGGGAUUAGCUAGUAGGUGGGGUAACGGCUCACCUAGGCGACGAUCCCUAGCUGGUCUGAGAGGAUGACCAGCCACACUGGAACUGAGACACGGUCCAGACUCCUACGGGAGGCAGCAGUGGGGAAUAUUGCACAAUGGGCGCAAGCCUGAUGCAGCCAUGCCGCGUGUAUGAAGAAGGCCUUCGGGUUGUAAAGUACUUUCAGCGGGGAGGAAGGUGUUGAGGUUAAUAACCUCAGCAAUUGACGUUACCCGCAGAAGAAGCACCGGCUAACUCCGUGCCAGCAGCCGCGGUAAUACGGAGGGUGCAAGCGUUAAUCGGAAUUACUGGGCGUAAAGCGCACGCAGGCGGUCUGUCAAGUCGGAUGUGAAAUCCCCGGGCUCAACCUGGGAACUGCAUUCGAAACUGGCAGGCUAGAGUCUUGUAGAGGGGGGUAGAAUUCCAGGUGUAGCGGUGAAAUGCGUAGAGAUCUGGAGGAAUACCGGUGGCGAAGGCGGCCCCCUGGACAAAGACUGACGCUCAGGUGCGAAAGCGUGGGGAGCAAACAGGAUUAGAUAU
Molecule: ribosomal RNA, 754 nt
Filed under: Enterobacter asburiae
Lineage: Bacteria; Pseudomonadati; Pseudomonadota; Gammaproteobacteria; Enterobacterales; Enterobacteriaceae
Description: bacterial SSU rRNA
Rfam family: Bacterial small subunit ribosomal RNA
Source: RNAcentral